RNAcentral lists this transfer RNA (77 nucleotides) under Rhizobiaceae bacterium. Its description in RNAcentral is "tRNA-His". It matches the Rfam family "tRNA". Rfam says of the family: Transfer RNA (tRNA) molecules are approximately 80 nucleotides in length. Lineage: Bacteria; Pseudomonadati; Pseudomonadota; Alphaproteobacteria; Hyphomicrobiales; Rhizobiaceae. The record is from RNAcentral.
GCGGUUGUAGCUCAGUUGGUUAGAGCGCCAGAUUGUGGCUCUGGAGGCCGGUGGUUCGAUCCCUCCCAACCGUACCA